GGGCUUUUCAUUUUUUUUUGUGGGUUUGUUUUUUCUUUCUUUCUUUUUUUUUUUUAACGCUCCUUUUGGGUUUGGAAGCUGGAUGCCACACAUAGGUUUCUCCACACCGACCUGGAAAUAAUUUACUUGUUUUAAUGCAAAAAAACCAAUCGAACAACAACAACAAAGCUGAGACUCUCAGAAGAAAAGCCCCCAGGAAUUGUGAAAUACCAAAUGUCACACCAACAAAAAUGACUGAAGCUGGCAGCUCCCAGCGCAGCGUAUCACGUUGGUCUUGAGCAAGAAAAAGCCAAAUCAAGCAAGACUUGAUGGAACAGAGUAAAAGCAGGCAAGCACCUCAUCUUGGCUUGGAAUAGCACAUUCAUAGAGAAAGCAUUUUUCAUUGCUUUUUAUUUGUGCAGGGAGUUGUAAUGCUGAAGUUGCAAACUGUGCUGGCAGGCAAUUCCUGCAAGGACCCGAUCCCAGUGAGCUGGUGAAACCUCCCUUUGUCACCACAAGGCCUGGAAAGGUGUAGACCGAUGUCCCCCAUCCUCUUGGCCAGUGUGCCUACCUUCUGGUAUCUGCCCUCGCCAAAGGUGUCCUUCUGACAUAGGUUUGGCUGAAGAUCAGGCAAUUAUUUGAUGCUUUGAAUGUUGACUUAGGGAAAAGCUUUCAGGCCAAGAGGGUGUUGCUCGAAGCCUAUCUCAGGCACCCUCAACACCCCUAAAUUUUGCUGGGAUCCAUUGGUUCUGAGUACCCUGAGUCCCCUCUUUGCCAUCUCCAAUGUGUUUAUGGGCAAUGAGAGGGGCUGUUGUCCCUCUUCCAAAGGCAAAGGCAGCAGUGAUGGUGAAGCCCAAGCCCAUGCUUUUUCUGUUCUCCUCCAGCCCAUGCUGCUGGCACUGGGCUCUCCUAACACAUCUCUGCCCUUUCCUGCUGCAGGGAAAGACUGCAACAUAGGGCAGGAGAGGAAAAACCCCUCCAAUUAUGCUUUCUGCCUGUGCUGGCCAUGGUCUGCAGCCCAAGUUACCAAUGGGACUUGCUAAUAGAGCAUCUGGGACAGUCUUGCACUGUUUUCCCCAUAGCUGGUUUUCGGAUUAGUGCCUCCCAGCUGAUCGCUCUCCCAGAUGUGUGUGUGUCCAUACAUGCAGUCAGAUCACUGAUGGAUGCUCUGCAGCCAUCUGGAUGUCGGGGAGAAAUGACAAAUUUCCCCCUUACUGCCAGCCACCCCUUCCAUGAGAUAUUGAUGAAUGGCAUCUUUAUUGGCUGCUGGGCUAAUUAAAUAAAAGUUGCAUCAGCUUCUAGCUGACAGGCUCUAAUUGCUCCUGAUCAGAUUUUGAGAGGACCAAAUGAA
Molecule: long non-coding RNA, 1330 nt
Filed under: Gallus gallus (chicken)
Lineage: Eukaryota; Metazoa; Chordata; Aves; Galliformes; Phasianidae
Description: lncRNA (ENSGALG00010022118.1)
Source: RNAcentral